This 800-nucleotide ribosomal RNA is filed under the name uncultured bacterium. Its description in RNAcentral is "bacterial SSU rRNA". It matches the Rfam family "Bacterial small subunit ribosomal RNA", at positions 78 to 874 of the family's 1533-position model. The record is from RNAcentral.
GCUUGCUUCUCUUGAGAGCGGCGGACGGGUGAGUAAUGCCUAGGAAUCUGCCUAGUGGUGGGGGAUAACGUUCGGAAACGGACGCUAAUACCGCAUACGUCCUACGGGAGAAAGCGGGGGAUCUUCGGACCUCGCGCCAUUAGAUGAGCCUAGGUCGGAUUAGCUAGUUGGUGAGGUAAUGGCUCACCAAGGCGACGAUCCGUAACUGGUCUGAGAGGAUGAUCAGUCACACUGGAACUGAGACACGGUCCAGACUCCUACGGGAGGCAGCAGUGGGGAAUAUUGGACAAUGGGCGAAAGCCUGAUCCAGCCAUGCCGCGUGUGUGAAGAAGGUCUUCGGAUUGUAAAGCACUUUAAGUUGGGAGGAAGGGUAGUAACUUAAUACGUUGCUACUUUGACGUUACCGACAGAAUAAGCACCGGCUAACUUCGUGCCAGCAGCCGCGGUAAUACGAAGGGUGCAAGCGUUAAUCGGAAUUACUGGGCGUAAAGCGCGCGUAGGUGGUUCAGUAAGUUGGAAGUGAAAUCCCCGGGCUCAACCUGGGAACUGCUUUCAAAACUGCUGAGCUAGAGUACGGUAGAGGGUGGUGGAAUUUCCUGUGUAGCGGUGAAAUGCGUAGGUAUAGGAAGGAACACCAGUGGCGAAGGCGACCACCUGGACUGAUACUGACACUGAGGUGCGAAAGCGUGGGGAGCAAACAGGAUUAGAUACCCUGGUAGUCCACGCCGUAAACGAUGUCAACUAGCCGUUGGAAUCCUUGAGAUUUUAGUGGCGCAGCUAACGCAUUAAGUUGACCGCCU